Molecule: ribosomal RNA, 374 nt
Filed under: uncultured organism
Description: bacterial SSU rRNA
Rfam family: Bacterial small subunit ribosomal RNA
Source: RNAcentral
CGGGGGGAGCAAGCGUUGUUCGGAUUUACUGGGCGUAAAGGGCGCGUAGGCGGCCAGCGCAAGUCAGUUGUGAAAUCUCCGGGCUUAACUCGGAAAGGUCAACUGAUACUGUGCGGCUAGAGUGCAGAAGGGGCAACUGGAAUUCUCGGUGUAGCGGUGAAAUGCGUAGAUAUCGAGAGGAACACCUGCGGCGAAGGCGGGUUGCUGGGCUGACACUGACGCUGAGGCGCGAAAGCCAGGGGAGCGAACGGGAUUAGAUACCCCGGUAGUCCUGGCCUUAAACGAUGGAUGCUUGGUGUCUGGAGUUUUAUAGUCUCCGGGUGCCGUAGCUAACGCGUUAAGCAUCCCGCCUGGGGAGUACGGUCGCAAGACUG